UACGGGGGGGGCAAGCGUUGUUCGGAAUUACUGGGCGUAAAGGGCGCGUAGGCGGCUGAGUUUGUCCCUCGUGAAAUCCCACGGCUCAACCGUGGAACUGCGGGGGAAACGGCUCGGCUUGAGUCCGGGAGAGGAGAGUGGAAUUCCCAGUGUAGCGGUGAAAUGCGUAGAUAUUGGGAGGAACACCGGUGGCGAAGGCGGCUCUCUGGACCGGUACUGACGCUGAGGCGCGAAAGCUAGGGGAGCAAACGGG
RNAcentral lists this ribosomal RNA (253 nucleotides) under uncultured bacterium. RNAcentral's name for it is "partial 16S ribosomal RNA". It matches the Rfam family "Bacterial small subunit ribosomal RNA", at positions 524 to 776 of the family's 1533-position model. The record is from RNAcentral.